CUUCCCUGCACCCUAACAGUGCCUAAGAACUGACCGGAUCUGAUCUCCCUUCAAGGAACCGGCCUGCUCUGAGGUGCCUGGCCAGCUCUUGAGAUAUGCAUUAUUAGGACUGUGCUUAACCCUGAGUUGCAUCUGCAGGGGCAGAGGAGGCCACAGGCAGGUGCCCAAGAGGCAUUCACUGCUACUAGGACUGAGACCCAGGAAGCUAGAGUCUGAGACAGUGGACCUAGGCCGAAGAAGUCUCAGCCAGACUACAUCCUGUUGCCCAUUAUUAGAUCAUUCCCAGCAGUUCCAGAGAACAUUAAGGUAACGCACAAAGCAGAAAUAGCAAGCGCUAUGUUUGUGAAAGAUGGCUGAGCUGCUGUGGUCAUACAUUUUGGAUUUUUCCUGAGUUGUGAAUGCUCAAUUGAACUUCUUCAGUGUUACUUUAAUAGUGUAGGAUGAAAAGAAUCAGAGGCACAAGGAGUCAACCUUGCACAGCAAGCAAUUUCCAUCCUCUUUCAAGAGAGCCCUUGUCACUGGAAAGCAUCCUGCUGUCAUCUGGUCUUUACAUUUUGUUACAAUGUUUUCAGGUCUGGGGUUUUUGGAACUUUUUUUUAGUAUUUAAUAUUAUUAUUUAACAUUUCAAAGACAGAGAGGAAGAAUGGGAAAUGUUGCGUAUCUUUUGGUUUCUUUCCAUUGUGUGGAGUCUCUUUGCUGGUUACCUAGGAAACUGCCACAGUAGAGUUGCACUGUCUGUGCUGUCACGAUUGUCAGAGUGCUUGGGAGAAUGCAGAGUGGAUGAUGUGCAUGGGUGAUGUACAGAAAUUAAAAGCUUGACAGCAUGUAUUUGUAAGAAUAAUAAAUAGAGAAGCUAGUCCCCAUGUGUACCUCACCAGCAGGGAGGCAGGAUACACGUCUGUGUCUGUAUUUUGUUGAAGAUCAGGGGAGCAGAGGAGGCACUACAAAGCAUUGGCUGCUUGAUGAAAAUAGCUAACAAACUGCAUGAGAUGCCAUACCUACCUAUUACUUGUUCCCUUCUCUCUUUUGGCAACCAAGUGACACUCAACACAAACACCUGGGUAAACGAGAAGCAGGCCUCUUAACUCCAGAAACAACGCAGAGGGAUUUCUACAUGCCUGCUUCAGAGUCACUUCAUCAUUCCUUUUAUAGAGUAGAUUUCUUCUGUGCGACUAGUCACACAGUACCUGGCUCCAACUUUUUUUCACUUGAACUCUGGUGAUAGACUCUUAUUCCCCCAUUGUUUCCUUGUUGAAAGGCAGGACUUGUUUGGCCCCAUGGACCCAAUCCAGACUAUCAUGGGUUCCUGCAAGCAAGAUCUGGAGUGCAGGGCUUCCCACAGACCAGACCAGAUGAUUCGUGAGCAGGGGUAGUGGUAUUAAUCCUCAUGGUUGCUAAUCAGUGAGUUUCCAAAACCCAGGCAAAUUAACACUGUUGCUGCUUAUCUCCCUUUCCCCCCUGCCACCAAUUUUAGUCCCCCAGGGUGAUUAAAGACCCUGAUUUCAAAGUGGCAGGGAGGUGUGUGGCAUUAACUUCCCGGAUUCCAAAGCCACGCUGAAACAGCAGCUCCAGCAAUGAGCCCCAAGGUCCAAAGCCAUCCAGCCCAGAAGAACCCAAUGGGCCUGGAGACCCAACUCUUGUCUGCUGGAUCUGGCCCAUGGGCCAACAUGUUUGACACUUGUUCAAAGCUGCUCCUGCUCUCCAAAUGCAGUACUGCUCUUUACAAAAAGUUAGUCAGCAUCACUCCAUCAGGAAGAUAUUUUCAUGAGAACUAGUUCUGCACGGUUCAAAAGGCAUGCACCAUAUACAUUACAGCAGUAGUUCUCAACCUUUUACACCUUACAUCCCACCAACCAUUUUGUCAAAAAACUCUGGUCCCACCAUGAUAAAAGCAAAACCCCACCUUUUCCAAGAAGUGUAUUUUUACAUUUACAUGUACUUUAGUAUUAUAUUAAUCAUUAAGCAGUGAGUUGAAGUCCCACUUACACGACCUUCACAUUCCACCAGUGGGAUGUGUCGGACUGGUUGAGAAACACUGUAUUACAGCAUGCACUUGCCAUGGGGCACGAACCUGCUUGGAAUAUGGAAGAAAGUCCACAGCCUGUCCUAUAGUGGACAUAAGGUUUUGUUCAUUUUACACAUACAACACCAUAUGUGUUAUCAAUAUGCCACAUAUACAGUUGAUGAAAUGCAGCUACAUUCAGCAUGAGGAAGAUUGUGCCUAUAAUGAGUUCUUCCCAAAUCUGAUUUGAUUUAUUUAGAUAUUUCUUUCAAGUCUAUGAUGCAAAAUGUCAAGAGAAAAAUACGAUACGCUGCACUCAUCAUAAGAAAUUGAAUGCCAUAUUUUCAUAAGCAGCCUUUAAUUUUACUUCAACAUUUUUCCUUCCACAGUCAGGUGCAAAUAUCAACUAGGAAUGCGGGAUGGAGAGGGAAAUUUUAGAAUUGAAAUGUCUAAUUGAGCAUGUCUAUGGUAAGCUAAUGAAAAUGCUAUCAUUUAUGACCAAACCUGAUUGUACUCAUCAGGUUAAGGCAUCUUUAAAACUGGCUUCAUUAUUUUAAAUGUCCUUUAUACAUUACAAGACUUUUUGAUUGCUUCCAGUUGGUUUUUUUUGUGUGGUAACUUUGUAUGUAGCAUCCUACUUUUCUUUACCUUUGAUGCUAUAGAACAUUCUUCUUUUAAUUAAUGUUUAUUACUGCUUAAUAUGCGCAUUUAAAACAUCCAAAGUCACAUACAAUGUAACUAAAAAAACAAUGAACCAUUUAAUCUUUUUCAUAUAUCUUUCAACUGUAAUAUAUCUUUGUAUACACUGACAUGGAAGAGCCAUUACCAGCUCUGAAAAGAGUUCAUUUCCAACUUUCUGAAUCUAUUUAUUUAUACUAUUAUUCUUUCUACCCUCCUGCUCUGUAAGUGAAUAUAGCUUUUAAGAAAAGUUACAGUGCUAAUAUUUCUUCAGAAACU
Molecule: long non-coding RNA, 2959 nt
Organism: Alligator sinensis (Chinese alligator)
Lineage: Eukaryota; Metazoa; Chordata; Crocodylia; Alligatoridae
Exons: 4
Source: RefSeq, a predicted model, not a curated record